UGGGGAAUAUUGGGCAAUGGGGGAAACCCUGACCCAGCAACGCCGCGUGAAGGAAGAAGGCCCUCGGGUUGUAAACUUCUUUUACCAGGGACGAAGGACGUGACGGUACCUGGAGAAAAAGCAACGGCUAACUACGUGCCAGCAGCCGCGGUAAUACGUAGGUUGCAAGCGUUGUCCGGAUUUACUGGGUGUAAAGGGCGUGUAGGCGGAGCUGCAAGUCAGAUGUGAAAUCCCGGGGCUCAACCCCGGAACUGCAUUUGAAACUGUAGCCCUUGAGUAUCGGAGAGGCAAGCGGAAUUCCUAGUGUAGCGGUGAAAUGCGUAGAUAUUAGGAGGAACACCAGUGGCGAAGGCGGCUUGCUGGACGACAACUGACGCUGAGGCGCGAAAGCGUGGGGAGCAAACAGG
RNAcentral lists this ribosomal RNA (407 nucleotides) under uncultured Oscillospiraceae bacterium. RNAcentral describes it as "bacterial SSU rRNA". It matches the Rfam family "Bacterial small subunit ribosomal RNA", at positions 355 to 776 of the family's 1533-position model. Lineage: Bacteria; Bacillati; Bacillota; Clostridia; Eubacteriales; Oscillospiraceae. The record is from RNAcentral.